This 268-nucleotide small nucleolar RNA is filed under the name Colletotrichum fioriniae PJ7. RNAcentral describes it as "Fungal small nucleolar RNA U3". It matches the Rfam family "Fungal small nucleolar RNA U3". From Rfam's summary of the family: Small nucleolar RNAs (snoRNAs) are involved in the processing and modification of rRNA in the nucleolus. There are two main classes of snoRNAs: the box C/D class, and the box H/ACA class. Lineage: Eukaryota; Fungi; Ascomycota; Sordariomycetes; Glomerellales; Glomerellaceae. The record is from Rfam by way of RNAcentral.
GUCGACAAUACUUCAGAGAAUCAUUUCUAUAGUAUUCGACCUACUCUUGGUUCCCUAAAGGAGCUACAGAUCCCACCCUGGUUGAUGAUUGAUAUCCUCGACACCCUAGAGUGAAGAACUCUGGUUGCCCUCGCACUUUCCGCAAGGAAAGCGGUUAUUUGUCUCUAGACGAAAAACUGUAUAGAGGGCGGUGAUGAUCUCGUCCCCCUUCGCGGUCUUGCCUUUUGGGCGCGUGGAGGGGGUGGGUGUCGAUGGACGUCUGACAGGC